RNAcentral lists this long non-coding RNA (2058 nucleotides) under Homo sapiens (human). Its description in RNAcentral is "HSALNT0333752". Lineage: Eukaryota; Metazoa; Chordata; Mammalia; Primates; Hominidae. The record is from RNAcentral.
GGAGGCCGCCUCCUGCUUGCCGGCCUGGCGGUCCUACUCAACACCGCAAGAUUUCAAAAGGGAAAUUCCUCCAGGGCUGAGUCACAGGGAAGAAAGCGAUUUCCUCCGCCUCUUCCAAAGCGGCCCCUUUGGUGCCAGUCUGCUGGAGUUUGCUGGAGGUCCACUCCUGACCCUGUUUGCCUGGGUAUCACCAGCAGAGGCUGCAAAGCAGCAAAGAUUGCUGCCUGUUCUUUCUUCUAGAAGCUUCGACCCAGUGGGGCACCUGUCAGAUGCCAGCCAGAGCUCUCCUGUAUCAGGUGUCUGUCGGUCCAAGCUAGAAGGUUGUGGGGCUAGACAAGAAGGAAAAAAAUCACUGUCCUCAUGGAAGUUAAAUUGUACUGACAAAGGAGGAAAAUGUCAGGGAGUUAACAAUUCAGUCUCUGUGGCUUCCUCCUGUCCUCUCCCUGAAACUGAGAUCCAGCCAAUCUGCACAUUUAUUCUGAGAGUGGCCCCACUUUAAUGACUACACCCAGCUGUCUACACACCAGGAGGGGAGGGAACUGUAUCCUGAGGCACCAACCCGAUUACCCACCCAACAGCCACAGGGACUUCCAGUGACUGGGGCAUCAUCCUCAAUGCCACCAACCCCUCUCCUUCCUGUGGCUUUUCUAACUGGAACUGGAACUCAGAAAGUACAUUAAUCACCAAUUUGGGAAGCUAUAGGAAAGUAUGUUUUCUAAUAUACAGUGAGAGAAUGUGACUGAUAAAACCAAUUUUCUUGAGACUUUCUCCCUGGAAAGUGAAUAUAUGUAUUCAUAGGGCCUUCACAAGCACAGACUAACAAGCAAAGAGCUACAUUCACUGGGAAGGAAGACUCAAAAGUAAGUGAAAAAUAAUAGUUAACCUUUAGAUGUUGUGCAAUAAAUUAUUUUUAAUUACAUUAAAUCAAAAUAGUGUUAAAAUAUUUUCAGGUAAACCUAGUAUAUUUACUAAUAAAUUUAAGUCUUCAUAAAUAUAAAGAUAGAUCAAUGUAAAUGUAAAAAUCAUUUGUUAAACUCCAGAGAUUAUAUAAACAAAAGGUGAACCUAAUGUAAAACUGUGGACUUUAGUUGAAAAUAAUGUGUCACUAUUCUUUCAUGGGUUGUAACAAAUGUGCCACACUAAUGUAAGAUGUUAAUAAUAGCAGAAAUAGGGGGGAGAGAGGAGGGAUCUAGGAGCUCUCUGGAUUUUCCAUUUUAUUUUGUUAUAAAUCUAAAACUGUUCUUAAAAAUAAUGUCUGUUAAUUUUUUUUUUAAAAAGGAAAGAAGCACUGAUACAUGCUAUGACAUGGAAGAACUCUAAAAAUAUUAGGCUAAGGGAAAGAAGCCACAUACACAUACACAUACACAGAUAGUUUAUGGUUCCAUUUAUAUAAAAUAUUCAGAAUAGAAAAGUUCAUAGGGACAGAAAGUAGAUUACCUGGGGAGUAGGGGGUGAAAAAUGGGUAGUAACUGCUUAAUGGGUAUGAAGUUUCGUUUAGGGCGAUGAAAAUAUUCUGGAACUAGAAAGUGAUGAUGAUGGUCACACAGCAAUGUCACAUAUACAAUACCACAGAACUGUACACUUUAAAAUGGUUAAAGGGUUUUAUUUUAUGUUAUGUAUUUUACCACAAUUGAAAAAAAUGUUUAUUAAAAUUAAUGUGUAAACAUUUGUGGAAGAAUAAUGUGUAGUUUCUAACAUUUAUGUGUUUAAAUUUAUGAGUUUAAAAAUAGAAAAAAAAAUGAUGGCCCAGAAGAGCAAGUUCAGAGUGCUGUUCAUGAGUGAUCCGCAUGGGACCGCGAUGCCUCUGACGUCUGCCAUCCUGGAGAGCAGCAGAGCGUCACUAGCAGGUCCUCGUCUUCUCACUUCAUAACAUUCUUUCCAAAAGUCUUGUUGACAUUCUUCUGUCUUCCACAUAUAGUUUAUCUUCUUGAACUCAUUAUAACUUUAAAAUAUUUUUACUGUGUUACAUGUACUGCUUAUAUUUGUUUAUUUUAUAAUUAUUAAUUUUAAAUUGUGCACUUUAUUUUGCUCUAACAAUAAAAUUGACAUGUUCGUAUA